GGUUUGUGUCUCAGUGGUAGAAUUCUUGCCUAGCAAGUGUGAGGCCCUGGGUUUGAUCCUCAGCACCA
RNAcentral lists this transfer RNA (68 nucleotides) under Marmota monax (woodchuck). Its description in RNAcentral is "tRNA.Ala". The record is from RNAcentral. Lineage: Eukaryota; Metazoa; Chordata; Mammalia; Rodentia; Sciuridae.